UGAUAUAGUUACUUCCUAGCUUCUGGUUAGUUUUUUCUCUUGACGUUGAAAUAACUGUCGCAUUACUCACAUUGACAUAAAGGGAAAAGCAUUGGUGCAUGCAUAUUACACACAUGAGAUAUCCUGGCUGUUCAUGUAUGCACAUGUGCUUUAGGAUUCACAAAAGUGCGGGAAAUGGCCAGCAGCUUUCUUUAUUUACUUUCUAUUUUCUGAAUAGGUACUUGAUGGGAUUGUCUAGAGAUAGAGACAGGCAGCACCUCUGUAGCUAGGGGGUUAAACCAUCCUGUUUGCACUACUCUAUCGUCUCCCCUGACUCCAUUGUAUUCUCCACUGUCUCUCUCUCUCACCCCCUCACUCAUGGCCACCGUUCUCGCACCCUUAAACCUGCGCUCCUGGUGGUACAUGUUGCCACCCUCCUCCAACAUCUUCACUCUGCUCAUUUUCUGUACAGUGAUGUCCAAGAUCUUGUAGAUGUUCCGCAGCCAGCAGUGGUCUGCCUGCUCCAUGAACCUGGUCAGCUCCUCCAGCUUCCACACCAUCCACCGCACCUCCAUCUCGAAAACUAAGCCUUCUUCUCACGUCUCCAUCGCCACCAGUCGAAAUGACUGCAACAGGGACUCGCGAGCGACUCUUGGAGCCUCUCCAGGCCAUGCGCGCACGACUGUUGGGCACUCUCUGGGGCAUGCGCGAGCGUGUCCUCUGCUUGCCAUGACGUUCGCUGGGGCUAGCUCACUGCCUCGGCCUGCUCCUCUGCCAGUGACUGUGGCUCGAGCUCCAGCUGCAGUGUCAGGACAGUGAGGAGGUCAGAGGGGUGGAAACCAGCAAUCCAGAGGAAGAAACGCUCCUCGCACAUGAUGGACAAGACGUCGUGCUUGACGGCGGCAUGACUUGGCGCGGAACAGCGGGUCAUAAUGCUCCAACUUGGCGUCUGCAGGCGCUCGGAGGUGGGGUGGCACGUGAGUGUGCUGCAGCGCUGCCCGCAGCUCGCCUGCCCCCUCCCCACACCCACCGCACGGACUCCAUCUUGAAUGCCGCCACACCUGCCAAUGCCAAGAAACAAUUAAGAGAAAGUCAUAUCAAUAAUUUUGCCAUUACAACCUUGAGCUCAGUCUUAACAUCAAGCGCCUGCAAUUAAUCGAUCCCAGGACAAUUCGGCCUGGAUCAAAGGAUGCUUGUAGUAAGUAGACUAACCACCAACAGGGCUACUGCUGCUGUUGCCUGGCCAGGGUGAGCUCCUGGUGCAUGUGCACCAACUCCAUCUGCCUCCAGGUUCAGGAUGUAGGCCUGGCACAUCCAUCAUUCCAUCCAUUGAGUGAAGAAUGCCGAUAAUUUAAAUCAGGGUAUAUAGCAUGAAAAAGAAAACGUCCUCAGGCACCCAAUCAAAAUUGUUUCAACAACAAGCUCUAGUUAUCAAAUUAUCAACUACAUGAAUAUCAAGUAAACAACAUAUCUUCAUCCAAUAAUGACAACAAUUGGAAUCAGGGAACACGGUAACAAGAAUGAUCUGCUUGAUCAUAUUAGUUUGAAGAACAAAUCACACAUCAAAUUAAUUCAAUUAGCAACAUCAUGGCAAUUCUUCAUCUGCGAGAUUCUGAUGAGGAAUGAGCAUUGACUGCAGCUUGACACUGCACUUCACAAGCGAUUCAAGAGUGGUCAGCAUUAAGAGGCGAGUGCUUGGUGAUCAAAAGCUCUUCCCAGCAUGGGGAUCCAACUGCAAUGAAAAAACAAAAGCAGUGAGCAUAGAACCAUGGAUCUCAAACUUGUUGGGCUGGAGCACUCCGAAAUCACUGCAGAACUCAAUUUUCAUCACUGGGUGCUUCACCUCGCUUGCACACUGCACCAAUGACUUUGUCAGCAAUAAGCUGAAUUAACUGAUUUGCUCUUCGCCUCACCAACACAGCGAGAUAGAUCAAUCGGGAAUUGAGCAAGAACACAUUGAGGUAGUUCUUGUGCAGCCUGCUCUUGCGACCGGCCUCUCUGCUCCCCGCGGAAUCUAUUAGUCCUCUGGAUCUAGUGGAGCAAAAAACAUGGUGAAUUGAAUUAAUCGAGUUAUGAACUUUUCGCGCUAUUUUCCUGUGGCAGAUUCUGCACAUACCUUCUCUCUUGGACUGGCGGGCUCCUGGUCGGAACUCUGGUGAUGGCCACAAUGAAUGCAUUGUCUUCCACCUGUGGCAGAGUCAGCUCGAACUUUGGUUAGGUUAACUCCGUGGCACUGCUGGGUGGCCAGACAGCAGCUAGGACAUGUACCCGCCCCAGAUGUUGAUGCCGAGCAGAUGGUGGUGACAACUCUCCAUGGGUGACUGCACCAGCCGCCAGGAGCGGCCUCCUCUGCUAUCUAUGAACACCAACACAUAAACAAAACUGAGAGCAUUGAGGAGAAGAAAACAAAAUGAAAUGCAGGAACAGCCGACGAACUAGCUAGCAGUCCUGGUGGACGAAGACAGUAGUUGCGACAGCCUCGAUGAUGAGCUGCCAAUUAAGCUAGAAAGAUAUCACAUCAACCUUGACGGAAAUGGAUGCCAGAUCGAUCUAGAACAUGAGGGGCCAUGGAAAGGGGAGGAUGUGCGUGAAGUGGUUCUUACCUGAGUGCAGGAAGAAGAGACAGAGAGAGAGUACCGUUUGUGAAGGGUUUGCCAGAGCUUGAAGAGAGGGAGAUGGAAAGAGCCACAUCGGGGUAUCCGCGAAAAAAAAGAGCCACAUCAGGGGGAUAGUGGGUUUGGACAGUACGGAUCUAAAAUCACAUGUACGCACCUGAGUGGACAUGAUAGCUCAUGUGUACAUGUGCAUGUACAAAAUCCAACCUCUUACAUAAAAAUAUGCAAAUAUCAUUUCAUCCUUGAGCUACA
This is a long non-coding RNA of Brachypodium distachyon (stiff brome), 2846 nucleotides long. RefSeq lists it as uncharacterized. Lineage: Eukaryota; Viridiplantae; Streptophyta; Magnoliopsida; Poales; Poaceae. The transcript has 2 exons. The record is from RefSeq and is a predicted model, not a curated record.